GCUGCAGGAAGUCUCCAGGUCCUUCAGCAGCACGGCGAGGUCGGCCUUCUCCUGACCCGCGUGCAGGAACGCACGUAGACGACCGACCUCCACCGCCAUACAGUCCAAGGCACUCUGGGUAAACUGCACAUGGACACAACAGAUUCCUCACAGCCUGUUGGUGAUGUUGGUACUCACUCUGAUGUGAUCAGCCAGCUGCAUGGUGCAGUCUUCAUUCUGAUCUGCCAGGUGGAUACUGUACAGGUGCUGAGAAAGGAGUCAUUUUGUAGUAUUUAAUGGCCUUGGUGAGCGGCUCCACGUUGACAGUCUCGUCCAGCUGGUCUUUGUGCAGCAGGUCGAUGAGGAAAUCCAGAGAACGUUCAUGGACGCUCAUCUCCGGGUACAGAGAGCCGAUCUUCUUAUAGACAUCCACACUGCACUGAGCCAGAGCCCUGACACACACGCACAGAAUUUCCACUGCACCGCUGGAGAUCACCUGAUUUCUGUUGAAGUUUGAGUUUCUGUACUUGACUAUGACUAACGACUAUGUUUAUUGCAGACAAACUGCUAAUGUCUCUGCCAGAAAAGCAAAAUAUUUCUACUCCUGAAUGUAUUUAGUUUUUCUUUUAGUUUAGGUUUUUUUUUUUUUUAAUUGUUUUGUAUCAACUGGCAAUAAUGUAGCAAAACGGACAUUUACAUGAAACUGUUGCUGGUUUUUACAACUUAUCACAUUAAUGGAGGUUAAAUGCUCUAAAAUGAUUUAAAUUUUAAAUAAAAUAGAUUUAAAAAGUAAA
Siniperca chuatsi (mandarin fish) is the source of this 773-nucleotide long non-coding RNA. RefSeq lists it as uncharacterized. The record is from RefSeq and is a predicted model, not a curated record. NCBI's taxonomy places the organism in Eukaryota, Metazoa, Chordata, Actinopteri, Centrarchiformes, Sinipercidae. The transcript has 4 exons.